GAAAUGCGAUAAUUAAUGUGAAUUGCAGAAUUCAGUGAAUCAUCGAGUCUUUGAACGCACAUUGCGCCCCCUGGUAUUCCGGGGGGCAUGCCUGUCCGAGCGUCAUUGCUGCCCUCAAGCACGGCUUGUGUGUUGGGCUUCCGUCCCUGGCAACGGGGACGGGCCCAAAAGGCAGUGGCGGCACCAUGUCUGGUCCUCGAGCGUAUGGGACUUUGUCACCCGCUCCCGUAGGUCCAGCUGGCAGCUAGCCUCGCAACCAAUCUUUUUAACCAGGUUGACCUCGGAUCAGGUAGGGAUACCCGCUGAACUUAAGC
This 314-nucleotide unclassified non-coding RNA is filed under the name plant metagenome. RNAcentral's name for it is "partial contains 5.8S ribosomal RNA, internal transcribed spacer 2, and large subunit ribosomal RNA". The stretch from base 1 to 105 matches the Rfam family "5.8S ribosomal RNA", at positions 50 to 154 of the family's 154-position model. The record is from RNAcentral.